RNAcentral lists this ribosomal RNA (427 nucleotides) under uncultured prokaryote. Its description in RNAcentral is "bacterial SSU rRNA". It matches the Rfam family "Bacterial small subunit ribosomal RNA", at positions 355 to 774 of the family's 1533-position model. The record is from RNAcentral.
UGGGGAAUUUUGCGCAAUGGGGGAAACCCUGACGCAGCGAUGCCGCGUGAGCGAAGAAGGUUUUCGGGUUGUAAAGCUCUGUCAUAUGGGACGAAGGAAUAGUAUCUAAUAAAUACUAUUUUUGACUGUACCAUAAGAGGAAGUACCGGCUAACUCUGUGCCAGCAGCCGCGGUAAUACAGAGGGUACAAGCGUUGUUCGGAAUUAUUGGGCGUAAAGGGUGCGUAGGUGGCUUUUCAAGUUGGAUGUGAAAUCCCUGAGCUUAACUCAGGAACGGCAUCCCAAACUGCUAAGCUAGAGUUUAGUAGAGGGGAAUGGAAUUCCUGGUGUAGGGGUAAAAUCCGUAGAUAUCAGGAGGAACACCGGUGGUGAAGACGGUUCCCUAGACUAAAUCUGACACUGAGGCACGAAAGCGUGGGGAGCAAACA